CCUUCGGCUGCAGCCCUGUUGCCCAAGCUCAGGGCAACCCCUGAGCCCUGAUCCCAAGGGAGGCAGUGCCGCCUUCUCCUCUAGGCCUGGCAGUUCCAGGGUGACAGGAAGGUCACGAUAUCUCUGUUUGGGUGCACUGCAGCCUCCGCUUCCUGCCAGGACCAGGCUGUAUCAGGCACUGGGAUGAAGAAAACAUUCCAAGCAAUGGGCUGGCCUAGAAGACUCUCCAGGUCAUGAUGUGACCAAGGUUGCCCCUUGCCACUCCCAGCUUUAUUCUCACCAGCUCAGCAACCCCAGGGAAAAGGGAGCACCAAUUUCCAAUUGUUUCAGAACAAGAACAGACCUCAGGAGCGCACAUGCACAGAGGGAUGACCGUGUGCAGAGGCAGCAAGAGGGUCGCCAUCUGCAGGCCAAAGAGAGAGGCCUUGACGGAAAUCAACCCUGACAGCCGGCAUCUCGAGCUUGGACUUCCAGCCUCCAGCACUGUGAGAUAAUAACUGUGUUGCUUAAGCCACCCGGUCUGUGGUCUUUUGCUAUGGCAGUUCUAGCGAACAAAUAUAGUCUCUUUCCCUGCACACCUAGAAGAGUUCCUGGGAAGAUGCCCAUAUGCCUGGCUUGGUUCACUUCCCGUCUGUUACCAAUUGCUGUGGCCACCAGAUGCUGAACUCUAAUCGGUCAGGCCUUGGCCAAGUGCUCAUCCCUGGAGCUAGGGAUGGGCUCAGCCUGCCAACCUGGGUUCACUUUUCCUUGUUUGAUUAAAAAUUUUAAUUUAAAGCAAGUGACGGCUGGAUGCAAUGGCUCACUUCUAUAAUUCCAACCUUUUGGGAGGCCAAGGUGGAAGGAUCACUUCAGCCCCAGAGUUCGAGACCAGCCUGGGCAACACAGCGAAAC
This 891-nucleotide long non-coding RNA is filed under the name Homo sapiens (human). Its description in RNAcentral is "non-protein coding lnc-SLC9A8-8:4". Lineage: Eukaryota; Metazoa; Chordata; Mammalia; Primates; Hominidae. The record is from RNAcentral.